RNAcentral lists this long non-coding RNA (292 nucleotides) under Ursus americanus (American black bear). RNAcentral describes it as "lncRNA (ENSUAMG00000002083.1)". The record is from RNAcentral. Lineage: Eukaryota; Metazoa; Chordata; Mammalia; Carnivora; Ursidae.
UAUCUCUUUGUGUUUCUUUUUAGAUCUGAACGGUGAUGGCACACAUUUCGGUUACAAGUUGUUCAGUGAGCUGUGGGUCGACAGAACUAUCAGCAUUCCUGCCGUGAUGCAUGCCUCGAAGUCCCUUCACUACACCUAUGUUCUGAUCAGAGGCCAACUAAAUGACAUUCAGAACUUCCACUAAGAUUUCGUGGAGGCAUGGCACCUGCUUUUCUACAAGAGAAAUUCAGCACACAGCAGAGUCCUUGAUAAAUUGGAUUGGUUUGAGGAUCCUACCUGGAAUAGGUAUGUA